RNAcentral lists this ribosomal RNA (420 nucleotides) under uncultured bacterium. RNAcentral describes it as "bacterial SSU rRNA". It matches the Rfam family "Bacterial small subunit ribosomal RNA", at positions 355 to 775 of the family's 1533-position model. The record is from RNAcentral.
UGGGGAAUCUCGCGCAAUGGCCGAAAGGCUGACGCAGCGACGCCGCGUGGGGGAUGAAGGUCUUCGGAUUGUAAACCCCUGUUGCCCGGGACGAAUGCCGCCUUUCGAGGCGGGUGACGGUACCGGGUGAGGAAGCACCGGCUAACUCUGUGCCAGCAGCCGCGGUAAUACAGAGGGUGCGAGCGUUGUCCGGAAUCACUGGGCGUAAAGGGCGCGUAGGCGGUCUGGUAAGCGUGUGGUGAAAGCCCGGGGCUCAACCCCGGGUCGGCCAUGCGAACUGCGAGACUGGAGCCGAUCAGAGGCAGGCGGAAUUCCGGGUGUAGCGGUGGAAUGCGUAGAGAUCCGGAAGAACACCGGUGGCGAAGGCGGCCUGCUGGGAUCGAGCUGACGCUGAGGCGCGACAGCGUGGGGAGCAAACAG